Molecule: ribosomal RNA, 406 nt
Filed under: uncultured bacterium
Lineage: Bacteria
Description: partial 16S ribosomal RNA
Rfam family: Bacterial small subunit ribosomal RNA
Source: RNAcentral
AUUGAACGCUGGCGGUAGGCCUAACACAUGCAAGUCGAACGAGUGGCGGACGGGUGAGUAAUGCAUCGGGAUCUACCCGGUCGAGGGGGAUAACUUAGGGAAACGUACGCUAAUACCGCAUACUAUAGAAUGAGCCGAUGUCGGAUUAGCUAGUGGGCGGGGUAAAGGCUCACCAAGGCGACGAUCCGUAGCUGGUCUGAGCGGAUGAUCAGCCACACUGGAACUGAGACACGGUCCAGACUCCGACGGGAGGCAGCAGUGGGGAAUAUUGGACAAUGGGCGCAAGCCUGAUCCAGCCAUACCGCGUGUGUGAAGAAGGCCUUAGGGUUGUAAAGCCCUUUUGUUGGGAAAGCGUUACCCAAAGAAUAAGCACCGGCUAACUUCGUGCCAGCAGCCGCGGUAAUUC